This 253-nucleotide ribosomal RNA is filed under the name uncultured bacterium. RNAcentral's name for it is "partial 16S ribosomal RNA". It matches the Rfam family "Bacterial small subunit ribosomal RNA", at positions 524 to 776 of the family's 1533-position model. The record is from RNAcentral.
UACAGAGGGGGCAAGCGUUAUUCGGAAUUAUUGGGCGUAAAGGGCGCGUAGGCGGCCUGGCAAGUGGAAGGUGAAAUCCCUCGGCUUAACCGAGGAACUGCCUGUCAGACUGGAAGGCUUGAGACCGGGAGAGGUGAGUGGAAUUCCCAGUGUAGCGGUGAAAUGCGUAGAUAUUGGGAGGAACACCAGUGGCGAAGGCGGCUCACUGGACCGGAACUGACGCUGAGGCGCGAAAGCGUGGGGAGCAAACAGG